AGAGUUUGAUCCUGGCUCAGAUUGAACGCUGGCGGAAUGCUUUACACAUGCAAGUCGAACGGCAGCACGGGGGCAACCCUGGUGGCGAGUGGCGAACGGGUGAGUAACACAUCGGAACGUGCCCAAUCGUGGGGGAUAACGUAGCGAAAGCUACGCUAAUACCGCAUACGAUCUACGGAUGAAAGCGGGGGAUCGCAAGACCUCGCGCGAAUGGAGCGGCCGAUGGCAGAUUAGGUAGUUGGUGGGGUAAAGGCUCACCAAGCCAACGAUCUGUAGCUGGUCUGAGAGGACGACCAGCCACACUGGGACUGAGACACGGCCCAGACUCCUACGGGAGGCAGCAGUGGGGAAUUUUGGACAAUGGGCGCAAGCCUGAUCCAGCCAUUCCGCGUGCAGGAUGAAGGCCUUCGGGUUGUAAACUGCUUUUGUACGGAACGAAACGGCCCUUUCUAAUACAGAGGGCUAAUGACGGUACCGUAAGAAUAAGCACCGGCUAACUACGUGCCAGCAGCCGCGGUAAUACGUAGGGUGCAAGCGUUAAUCGGAAUUACUGGGCGUAAAGCGUGCGCAGGCGGUUAUGUAAGACAGUUGUGAAAUCCCCGGGCUCAACCUGGGAACUGCAUCUGUGACUGCAUAGCUAGAGUACGGUAGAGGGGGA
This 658-nucleotide ribosomal RNA is filed under the name uncultured bacterium. Its description in RNAcentral is "bacterial SSU rRNA". It matches the Rfam family "Bacterial small subunit ribosomal RNA", at positions 8 to 661 of the family's 1533-position model. The record is from RNAcentral.